UACGUAGGGUGCGAGCGUUAAUCGGAUUUACUGGGCGUAAAGGGGGCGUAGGCGGCCGGGAAAGUCCGGUGUGAAAACUCACGGCUCAACCGUGGAACUGCGCUGGAAACUACACGGCUUGAGGACGGUAGAGGGAGACGGAACUGCUGGUGUAGGGGUGAAAUCCGUAGAUAUCAGCAGGAACGCCGGUGGAGAAGUCGGUCUCCUGGGCCGUUCCUGACGCUGAGGCCCGAAAGCUAGGGGAGCAAACCGG
Molecule: ribosomal RNA, 253 nt
Filed under: uncultured microorganism
Description: partial 16S ribosomal RNA
Rfam family: Bacterial small subunit ribosomal RNA
Source: RNAcentral